Molecule: unclassified non-coding RNA, 288 nt
Filed under: Hevea brasiliensis (rubber tree)
Lineage: Eukaryota; Viridiplantae; Streptophyta; Magnoliopsida; Malpighiales; Euphorbiaceae
Source: RNAcentral
AUUAUAGCAAGUGGAAGCAGUUGGAAGCCGCUCGACAUCCUGUCCUCCUAUUGAAGCCCAUAUAGGUACGUCACACGAAACCUUAUGGAUGGUAAAAGCUGGUUGCAGGUAUUUGAAUCCAAGUAAUGGAGCUCGAGAACAACUGGUGACAAAUUUAAGAAGCAAACAACGAUCUUUUGGUUCAAAUCCUUUCAUAACCUCCCAGAAAAUACUAAUUGUUCGGCUGCCCUCUGUGUAACCACCUGUAUAUCGUGUAUUCUUCCUCAAAUCAUCAACGUCAAUAUCAUG